Non-coding RNA from Budorcas taxicolor (takin), 510 nucleotides. The record is from the annotation of a RefSeq genome assembly. NCBI's taxonomy places the organism in Eukaryota, Metazoa, Chordata, Mammalia, Artiodactyla, Bovidae.
AUGCCGCUCUUCAGCCUGCUCUGGGUGUCCCUGGCCUUCACCUUCUCUGGAUCUGGUGUGGCACAGAGAGUUAUUCAAGACCAGCCAGACAUAUCCAGUCCACUGGGACAGUCAGUCACCCUGAACUGUCGGUAUGGAGCAACCUGGAGCUCUUACUACCUGUUUUGGUACAAGCUGCUUCCCAGUGGAGAGAUGAUUUACCUUAUUCAUCAGGUUUCUUCUGGCCAGAAUGCAAGGAAUGGCCGCUACUCUGUAAAUUUUCAGAAAGCUCGUAAAUCCAUCAGCCUCACCAUUUCGGAUUUACAGCUGGAAGAUUCUGCAGAGUAUUUCUGUGCUCUCUGGGAGCUCACAGUGCUUGAAGUAGUGGGAAUAGCUAAACAAAAACCCCAGAGUUUAAUAAAAGAGAGCUUCCCUGCUGCAGAACUCCAGCUGAAAUAUGCACCUGCAGAUCCCAGACCAGAAAUGGUAGUUGAGUGGUUGCGUAAUCUGUGGUCUGGAAGCUCCUUUUAA